AUAUCAGUCAUGCAUAGCAUAUCAUAAGCGGAGGAAAAGAAACUAACAAGGAUUCCCUUAGUAACGGCGAGUGAAGCGGGAAGAGCUCAAAUUUGAAAUCUUCAAGGUUUUACCUUGACGAAUUGUAGUUUAAAGAAGUGUUUUCUGUUGAAGUUUUGGUAAAAGUUCUUUGGAAUAGGACAUCAUAGAGGGUGAGAAUCCCGUAUUUGACCAUUACUUUCAGCUUUGUGAUACACUUUCAAAGAGUCGGAUUGUUUGGGAAUGCAGUCCAAAAUGGGUGGUAAAUUUCAUCUAAAGCUAAAUAUUGGCGAGAGACCGAUAGCGAACAAGUACCGUGAGGGAAAGAUGAAAAGAACUUUGAAAAGAGAGUUAAACAGUACGUGAAAUUGUCAAAAGGGAAGCGUUUGACACCAGUGUUGUUUUCUCGAAAAUCAAUUAAAAAGAGUUGGAUUUUGUGUUGUAUUGACUUUAUCAGCUUUCUUCACUCUUUUCCAGCUUUUUUUUAAUGCACUUUUCGUUUAACAAGUCAACAUCAGUUUCUUUUGUUGUAAAAAGGUCAUUGGAAGGUGGCUUUCUCUUCGGAGAAAGUGUUUAUAGCCUUUGACUCAUGCAAUCGGAGAGACUGAGGUCUGCAGCGUAGAUCCUUCGGGGUUAGAUACAUUUGUGCUAAGUUAUAGCUUUUCAUAGACAACUUGUUGACUAUGUUUAGUCUUGUAGCUUACUCGCUUAUGCUAUUUUACCUACGCUUAGGAUGUUGAACUCUAUCACACACAG
Molecule: ribosomal RNA, 774 nt
Filed under: uncultured Neocallimastigales
Lineage: Eukaryota; Fungi; Neocallimastigomycota; Neocallimastigomycetes; Neocallimastigales
Description: partial large subunit ribosomal RNA
Rfam family: Eukaryotic large subunit ribosomal RNA
Source: RNAcentral